Molecule: ribosomal RNA, 175 nt
Filed under: uncultured bacterium
Lineage: Bacteria
Description: partial 16S ribosomal RNA
Rfam family: Bacterial small subunit ribosomal RNA
Source: RNAcentral
GCUGGAAUUGCUGUAAUGGCAGGUCAGCAUACUGCCGUGAAUACGUUCCCGGGCCUUGUACACACCGCCCGUCACACCAUGAGAGUUGGAAAUACCCGAAGCCUGUGAGCUAACAGUAAUGAGGCAGCAGUCGAAGGUAGAGCCAAUGAUUGGGGUGAAGUCGUAACAAGGUAUC